RNA transcript from Vicia villosa (hairy vetch), 1369 nucleotides. RefSeq lists it as uncharacterized. The record is from RefSeq and is a predicted model, not a curated record. NCBI's taxonomy places the organism in Eukaryota, Viridiplantae, Streptophyta, Magnoliopsida, Fabales, Fabaceae. The transcript has 6 exons.
UAUUUAUUACUGAUUCCUAUUCUUUUGGAUAAUACUCUUUUAAUGGGUUAAUGACCACACAAUUCCCACUUGCACGUUAAAUUAUUUUUCAACUUUUCAGCAAACAUUCACCGCCUACGGCAAACCCCUGAUCUUCUUCAUCAAUUCAUUCGCUUGAUUCAAUGUAUCUUUCUCAAUCAUUUCAACCGACCCUUCAUUUCGUCCAUCGUUCUUCGAGGAUUCUGCUUCUAUGGGUUUCACGAUUCAUUCUCUUUAAUGGUAAUUAUUCAUCUCCCAAUUCCUAAGCAGGGCUUAAUCAAUAUUGUUUCUUUCUGAUUAUUGGUAUUUCCUGAUUAUUGUGCCCAUCUAUAAAUAUGACAAAUUCCUUUUCUGGAUUAUCAUUAACCUCUAAUCCUUCUAUCUGUUGCUUCGGUUUUUUUAAUGGUUGCUGCAAGACGCGAUUUUGUUACUGAAAUCACUCCGGCAAAAGAAUCAUGGGAUGUUGUUGUUCGAGUUAUUCGCUUAUGGUUUGUUCCAGACAUGAAUUCGAAACAAAAAUAUUAUGCGAUGGAAAUGGUUCUAAUGGAUGAGAAGGGUGGCAAGAUUCAGGCUUCUGUUCGAAAAGCUUUGCUCUAUCGAUUUGAUAACAAGGUUCGUGAGGGUAAUGUUUAUAAAUUUAAACAUUUUGGUGUCGCCGCUAAUACUGGAGCGUAUAGGACCACAAAACAUCAGUUCAAAUUGAGUUUGCAUAAUUCCACCGUGGUUAUAGAAUUUGGUGCUGAUCUGAUAACUUUCUCCCCUUACUCAUUUGUAUCUUUCCCAGAGAUAGUUGGGAAAAUUGACAUGGACUACUUGAUUGAUGUUGUGGCCAUUUUGUCUGGAGUUGGAUGUGAACGAGUCUAUGAAAGGAAUGGAGUAACUACUAAGUUUAAGGUGUCUAAUGGUAUGAAGCUUGACUGUACACUCUUUGGACCAUAUGUUGAUGAGCUUGAUUCAUACCUUGAAUCGGGUAACCGCGGCACUAUUGUUGUGCUUGCUAAAUUUCUGAAAGUCAAGAUGUAUAACGGAAAAAUCCAGAUGCAGAAUGCAAUGAAUUGUACCAAACUAUUGUUCGACCCAAAAACACCUGAGGCGGAUAGUUUAAAACUGAACCAUUUAGUUAUAUGAAGGAUGUUUCUGAGAUGAGUUUAGAAGAGGAUUUCUUAAAUUUGAGUCAGCGCAAAACAAUUGAGGAGCUAAAGGACUGUCAAGAUAACAUGGUUUGUGUUGUGUUAGGCACAAUCAAACAUGUUGUUGGUGGCAAUGAUUGGUGGUAUGCUGCAUGUGUCUGCAACAAGGCAGUCGUUGUAGAUUCCAAAAGGUUUUUCUGCCCAAAGUGUGAACAGCAUGU